CGGCCACAGCCCGGUUCCCGGACUAGGCCUGCUUCUCGCAGGGCCUGCUCCUGGGAGGCGAAACUCCACACUGAGGGCGCGGAGGUGGUUUCAGACCGCAGCGCCCGGGCUCCUCCUCCCGCGCUACCCAGGGAGGCGGGCUGUGCUCUUUUCAAGGUCCCGCCAAAGGGCCCCGCCCUCCCGGAGGGAGACCUAGCAGCCUUCCUUCCUACGCCAGGCCGGGGACCGCCGGACCGGAAGCUGCGGGGUCUCGGGGCCCCGGUUCGUUCUCGCCUAGCCGCAAGCCGCGGGUGCGCAUGCUCCGCGAAGGCCCGCACAGGGCCCGGGUGAACCCUGAUAGAGCCAUCGCGAGGCGGGGUUAUUGCUGGAAUGGUGGUGGUUUGGGGAACUCUUUUUUGGUGAGACGGUCAAGUGGGAAGGUGCACCCCGUUUCCAGUGGACUCCCACUUGGUGCUGGCUUGGCUUCCUGGAAAGAGAGUGAAAAGUCAGAGCCUAAGAGCUGCCCCUGAACUCCACAGCCUUCACCUCGCCUCUUCCUGUUUGGAAGACCCAGGUCCAGUUAGCGCCGUCCUGCUUCCCAACUAGGAGCCCGUCCACUGACGCGGCAUGCCGGAUCUUAGUUCCCUGACCAGGGAUUGAACCCAUUGCCCCCUGCAGUGGAAAAGCGGAAUCUUAACCACUGGACCGCCAGGGAAGUCCCAAGAUUUUCUAAGUCUCAUGUGCAGGUUUCAGGAGGAUGCCUCUGGUUGCCAUGUAACAACCAGCAACAAGACAGAGUGAGCAUACAGAGACAGGGGAACCCAUCAGAAUAACACAGGAUGAGGUGAUGGAGGCUGCGCAACACGUUGGCGAUGGAGAAGAUGGACGAUGGGACUGAUCGAAGAGCAUCUGAGUGGUAGAAUCUGUAAGUGAACGUUGGGAUGUGGGGUGAAGAGGGAAGGACGUAUAAAGAUGGCUCGCAGUUAUCUUGCUUAAGCAGCUAGGUAGAUGCAGGUGCCACUUACCAUAUGGGAAGAGUGGAGACAGCACAUAUUUGGGGCUGGGAGGGGAGCCAAGAGUUCAGCUGUAGAUAUGUUAAGUUUGAGAUACCCAGGCUAUAACAGCAUCAGCAUCCCUUCCCUCCUGUUUAGCAAUAGAAGCCCACUGCCUAUCCCCCCGCCCCAGCCAGUGUUUCUGGUUGGGCUAUCACAUAUACGGCCUCACUUCCCCAAGCACGCCAAAGGGCGUGACUCAGGCUGGCCAGUCAGAGCACUCACCCCCCUGGACACAAAGGUUGGUCCUUGGGUGAGCACACAUGGGGGACACUGAAGGAGAGAGGAUUGCACUCUUCUCUGAGUUUGUGAGCUGUAAGAAAAUGUAGGGCUGGCACUGUCAGUGGCAUCAUUCAGUCAGAAAAUUAAACCAACACAGGAAAGACAGAUCAGGAAAUGGAGAGAGACAACUCUGGUAACAUCAUUUGAACCUCUGGGUCCAUCCGUGCCUGAAGGUAGAUCCUCUCUUUGAUCCAAUACAUGACCUCAUAAAAUCUUUUUUCCCCCUAGGAGCUAGUUUGAAUACUUUUGCAGGUGACUGAAAGAGACAAUCCAAUAAGUCUAACACAGCAGCCAAGAGAUGUCAGGUGGGGCUUCUGGAGCAAAGACAGAUGCAGAAAUGGAGGAAGCCAGGUUCUGAGGAGGGACAGACAAAUGAGACAAUGGCUAGAGAAGGACACGGAAUCAAGGGACACAUGGCAGAGACUCCCAAAUGACUCCAAAUGACUUCACUUUUGCUUUCUUUCUCGAGUUUUUACCUUCCAGGUAGGUGCAACCGUGUGGCUAAGUCUGGUUAAAGGGAUGUGAGUGGAAGUACUGUGUGGGCUUUUCCAUUUCCCACCAGGCAAACCUGGUGAUGAGAACCUUGGGAGCUCUCGUGGACUCUGUAGCCUUGGACACCAGUGGACACUGCCUGAUACCCCAUCUAAAACCGAGGCCCUCCUUCCCCCAACUGCCAGGAACACUGUCCACUCACAGCUCAGCUGAAUCUUUCCCCAGAAACUGCUUUGCCCAAAGUUAUGCUUCCUCCCUGGGAGUAUCAAAAGGGGGCCCGUAUCCAAUGACUUGUGGGGUAACAAACCUAGUUCCUUGCUUUAAUUGAGACAACUGUGAAGGCCACCCCAGCACCAGAGCUCCUCUGGGAUUGGCUGAGUCCUCUGUUGUGACUGCAUCACAGCUCAGCUCUGCCCUUUGCCCAGUGUUACCUCCAUCACUCCCCCUGCCAUCAGGGUUCACUCCCCAGUAGAACACCUGGCUGCAAAUCUGUCUCAGAGUCUGUUUCCUGAGUAAUCCAACCUCUGACAGAAGCUGUCUUAGACUGUGUGCUGGAAGCAACAUGUUGAAAGUAGUGAAGUAAAAAGAUACAAGAAACCUGAGUCCUCCAAAACCACUAAACCCCCGUAUCAGCCCUGAACCAUCAAGGUACAUGAGAGAAAAAACAACAACAACAAAAAAAAACCCUUCUACUUUGUGUAAGCCAGUGUAGUUUGAGGCCUUUGUUACAGUAGUCUAAACUAUAUUCUGAUUAACAUAGAAUUUGACAUCCAGAAGUGGAAUGUCGGAUGUGGCAGAAUUUUAAACAUGAGGCGUUGUGCGGUGAGCAGAUAUGUCAGGUUGGAAAGCUGGUGACCCGUGCUAUGCAAAACAGUUGGUAACACUAUCUCCUCUGAUAUCUUGGAAGACAGUUCACGUGCCUACUGAGCCUCUAGUUCUAGAGGAAGUGGUUAGAAAAGGUGCAAGUGUUGGUGGGUAGUCUUCUCCCCACAUUUAUAGCAAGGUCCUGGAAGAGAGAAACACUCAGAAGAGAGACAGCAGUUUGCAAGCAUAGAUGAAAAUAAACAGAGCUCUGUUCAUGGAGAUUCUUCCUGCCUGUGGCCAGUAAGGUAAGUUGACUAAGAAUCCAGUAUUUGGAAAGGUGCUGAGGAAGUCAACUGCUUUUGCACCCCAAACUGAGGAAGUGACGUGAAGGAGCCCUGAAGAGGCAGCUUUCCCAGGAGACAAGACUGUGGCCCAAGCCUUUCCCAGUUAGCUCCAGUUAGGAACACCCUGCCCGACAAUGGGAGUCAGUUCAACAGCCCAGAGCAGAUUCAGGGUGCUGCCUUUCCACACAGGCCUACUAGGUUAGGUAACCUCAUAAACUAUUAUAAAGUCAAGACAGGGUAGGAUGGGCAGAGUAUAGAGGCUGGGAAAUAAAUGUGCGUAAAAAUGUCUUCAGGUUUAAGAACUAUGUCUGCUCCAGCUUUUUUGGCUGGGUUACUUGCUUAUGGAACAGAUUAGAAACAAAUAGACUGUAGUCAUACUAAUUUUUUAAAAAUAGUUUUAGGGACUUCCCUGGUGGCGCAGUGGUUAAAAAUCCGCCUGCCAACGCAGGGGACACGGGUUUGAGCCCUGGUCCAGGAAGAUCCCACAUGCCACGGAGCAACUAAGCCCAUGCGCCUCAACUACUGAGCCUGCGCUCUAGAGCCUGCGAGCCACAACUACUGAGCCCGUGUGCCACAACUACUGAAACCUGUGUGCCUAGAGCCCGUGCUCCACAACAAGAGAAGCCACCACAGUAAGAAGCCCGCAUACUGCAACCAAGAAUAGCCCCUGCUCACAGUAACUAGAGAAAGCCCGCACGCAGCAACGAAGACCCAAUGCAGCCAAAAAUAAAAUAAAUAAAUUUAAAAAAAUAGUUUGGGCCUUCCCUGGUCGCGCAGUGGUUGAGAGUCCACCUGCCGAUGCAAGGGACACGGGUUCGUGCCCCGGUCCAGGAAGAUCCCACAUGCCACGGAGCGGCUGGGCCCGUGAGCUAUGGCCACUGAGCCUGCGCGUCCGGAGCCUGUGCUCCGCAACGGGAGAGGCAACAACAGUGAGAGGCCCGGGUACCACAAAAAAAAAAAAAGUCAAUGUUUAAUCCAAGAUCAUGAAGUUUUAUAUUUUUCUUUCUUACAUUUAGGUCUAUAAUCAACUUUGAGUUAAUUUUUAUAUGUGGUGUGAAGUAGGGAUCUGAUUACAUUCUUUUGAAUAGGGAGAUCUAGUUGUCCCAGGACCAUGCUUGAAAAAGACUAUUUUUUCACCAUGUGUCAAAGUCUCCAUGUCCAGAGUCUCAAUUCUGUUCCAUUGACUUAUGUGUCUAUUCUUAUGCCAGUACCAUGCUGUGUUGAUUAAUGUAGUUUUGCAGUAAGUUUUGAAAUAGGGUAGUGUGAGUCUUCCAAAUUUGUUCUUCUUUUUCAAGACUGUCUUGGCUAUGCUGGGCCCCUUGCAAUUUUAUAUGAAUCUUAGAUACAUUUUCAAUUUCUGCAAAAAAGGCAGCUGGAAUUUUAAUAGGGAUUUCAUUGAGUCUGUAGGUCAUUUGGGGGAAUAUUACCAUCUUAACAAUAUUGUGUUCUAAUCCAUGGACACAGGAUGACUUUCCAUUUAUUUAGUUUCUCUUCAAUUUAUUUUAAUGAUGUCUUAUAGUUUUCAAUGUACAAGGCUUGUUCGAUUUAUUCCUAUUUAAUUCUUUUCUAUAUGAUUGUACAUUGAAUUAUGUUUUGUAUUUCACUUUUUAAUGUUAUGCUAAGUUUUUGAGGGUAAGUCAUUGGCAAAAGUCUACAAGGCUGGCCAGUACAACUCUAGAAUUGCUCAACUCCUAAAGCAAGCUGUGAGCUCCCAAACCUGCACCGGCAGGAAACAGGCUGUGAACACUGCACCCUCACCACCCAGAAGGGUAUAUUCUCCAAUGCCCUUUUCAGAUGUGGCCCUGGAGGACAACAGGUAGACAAAGAAAUACUGCCCCGAAAGCAGAGCCAAGAGCCACAGAGAAUGUUUUCAGGUAUUCAAUACCAAAGAACGUUCUCCUCUCUGAGAUAGGGAACCCUUGGAAUUCCUGCCCAGUGCGAUCUGUUAAUUGCUAUGUUCCUGCUAUGUGUUUUCUAUUUUUCCCUCUCCAAAUGGCAGAUUAAUUGGGGUUAUCCUGUUCUGCCUUAUAGAGUAUAUGUGUAUGUGUUGCUGGUUGGUAAAGGGGAACAAAUAGAUAACUUGGUUUUUAGUUUGUAUGUCACCAGACCAACAUCUGAACUUCAUAUAAAGAUCUGACAAUUGUCAGGAAGGCCUGGGCUCUGAGCUGGUUGCAGUCAUGGAUGAAACCUUGUGGGUUUGGGCUUGGGAAGGGGAUUAGCAUGUUGCACGUGUGAGAAGAAAGCGUGCAUUUAUUUGGGCGGUCAAAGGUGCAGAGGGUGAUAGAGAUCGCCAGCUUUCCCUCAAUAGCCAUUCUCCUCUUCUUCAAUAGUGAUGGAAUCUUUAAGUGGACACAUUGCUGCCCAACGAAGACCAUAUUUCUUAAGUUCCUUUGCCACUAGUUGUGUUUUUUGACCAAGUCUGAGGGCAAUACCUUGUGAUUGGACAUGUAUGCAACUUCCAGGCCGUGUCCCUCAAAGGAAGUAGCCUUAUUUCCUCCUUCCUCUUUUCCCCUUUCCUUCUGGCUGGGAGGUUGAAGUGCUGGCUAGGGCUGGGGCGUCCAUCUUGGAGAGAAGCUGCAAGUUAAGGAUGGCAGAGCAACAGAUAGAAGAAGUUACCGUAUCACCCCUACACUGCCUUCCUAGGCUUUUCAUGUGAGAGUCAACUUCUACCUUUGAGACAGUCUUUGGGGAUUCCUCUGUUACAGCAGCCUAACGUUAUCCUAACUAAUACAGAAAGUUUAUCUGUUUUUUUCCUUUUUAUUUCCGGCCAUGCCGCAUGACUUGCGGGAUCUCAGUUCCCCGACCAGGGUUUGAACCCGGGCCACGGCAGUGAAAACGCCGGAUCCUAACCACUGGACCAUCAGGGAAUUCCCAGUUUAUUUGUUUUUAAGAUGGGAGAGACUAGAGCAUGUUGUGUGCUCGUGGAAAUAACCCAUUAAGGAGGGAGAGAUUGAUGAGGAAAGAGAGUGGGGAGAUAGGCGAAGGAAAAAAGCCCUUGAGAAGAUGAGAAGCAAUGGGAUUCAGGGAACAAGAGAUGGAAUUUUUCUUUCACUGAAAAACUGGGACGCUUCUUCCAUUGUAAUGAGGCAGACACGGGGAUAUCUGUGAAUUUAGUGGUGGGAAGGUGAGGGAGGUUCAAUAUAAUUGCAAGAGAGUAAAGCCAUGAUAACCCAUGGAAUCUUGAUUUCAUUGGACUCCUCCACACAUCCUUUGUUCCCUGACUCACUCAUCGUUGAUCCACUUGUGCUAUAUAUAUAUUUUUUAAUAAAUAAAUUAGUUUAUUUAUUUUUGACUGUGUUGGAUCUUCAUUUCUGUGCUAGGGCUUUCUCUAGUUGCGGCGAGCGGGGGCCACUCUUCAUCGCGGUGCGCGGGCCUCUCACUAUCGCGGCCUCUCUUGUCGCGGAGCACAGGCUCCAGACGCGCAGGCUCAGUAGUUGUGGCUCACGGGCCUAGUUGCUGUGGGAUCUUCCCAAACUAGGGCUCGAACCCGUGUCCCCUGCAUUGGCAGGCGGAUUCUCAACCACUGCGCCACCAGGGAAGCCCUCGUGCUAUAUUUUUAAUUCGUUAUUUGUAAUGAUUAAAUAGGCUCCUGCAGAACCACCACCCAAACCAAAGCCUUGACAAUGACCCACAUCUUUCCAUACGAUUCCUCCUCGCCAUCCCAGCCCCCUACCUCCCCCAACCCACAGUAACUAUCAUCCUGAAGUCUGUGUACCACAUUCCCUUGAUGUCCUUUUUAUAUAGUUUUAUUGCAUCUACAUAUAUUUCCAAAAAUUAUACAUUUUAUAUUAAUUGUUUUUAACCUCAUUAAAAGGGUAUUGCUCUCCACGCAAUCUUUGGGGACUUACCUUUUUUACUUAAUUGUAUAUGGCUAAGAUUUAUUCACAUUGUUUUACUUUGCUGUGGCUCAUUUAUUUAACCUGCUUUGUGAUAGUCCAUUGUGUGAACAUCCCGCAGUUUAUUCAUCCACAAACCUUGGACUCUAAGCUGGGAGAGGAGAGAAGUGAAGGCAGGAGGGGGCUGAUGGAUAGAGACAAAGUGAAGGAAUCAGUGGACUGGAGAGUUCUAUGAGGCCAGAGACCUGUGGCAGGGCCACCUGGGCCAGGAAGCAGAAAGGCUUGGAGGCAAUGGAUGGAUGGUUGGAUAGUGGAAGGUGAGAAGUUCUGAUUUCAGAAGUAAGGCUUUGGGUGGCCAUAAGGUCUUCAGGGCUAAAUGUGGCAAUGGAUAGCUAAGGCGGGAAUUAUUGGAGAUGUAGGUGAUGGAAGCAAGAGGUCAGAGUGUGGAUAUAGGUCUUUCCAUUUGUCUAGGAUAGUGGCAGGAGGGGGUACAGGAGAAGAUGAGGAGGCUGGAACAUGGGUCUUCACUGGGGGAGGGAGCAAGCCUGGGAGGCUGGGAGAUGACAGGGCCGAGGAGGGAGGAUGGCAUAGCUGGAAGCAGCAGUGUCAAUGGUUCAGGGCUUUACAAGAGGAUGGGAGUAAUGGGCUGGAAAUGACCAUGAGGAAUAAUACGGACAACUCCAUCUUUUCACCCUGAGGUGCAGAGAAUGUGAGACUAAACAUCCUCCACCUGAGAGGGCUGCUGGGAGGUGGUAGCUCAGGGCCAGGAGGAGAAGGACGCAUUCCAAGAAGAGGCUGAAGAUCUAGGAGAGAGCGCUGCCUGUGGUGCAGGAGCUCCAGGGCGUGUCGUGUGAGAGCAGGGGGAGGGCAGAUCGCAGGGGAGGGCAGGCAGGCGUAUCAGGGCUCAGCCGAGGCAGGCGAGGAAGCCGUGCU
This is a long non-coding RNA of Orcinus orca (killer whale), 7722 nucleotides long. RefSeq lists it as uncharacterized. The transcript has 5 exons. Lineage: Eukaryota; Metazoa; Chordata; Mammalia; Artiodactyla; Delphinidae. The record is from RefSeq and is a predicted model, not a curated record.